This is a long non-coding RNA of Cynoglossus semilaevis (tongue sole), 3079 nucleotides long. RefSeq lists it as uncharacterized. The transcript has 3 exons. Lineage: Eukaryota; Metazoa; Chordata; Actinopteri; Pleuronectiformes; Cynoglossidae. The record is from RefSeq and is a predicted model, not a curated record.
CGGAGGGGGAGGGAAGGGAAGGGGAGGGAGACUAAACACUUCAUCUCCAACUGGGAGCAGCUGCAUCCUUGAUUCAAUAACAGCGUGAACAUGCAAUGACGGACACGACCUGCGGGGACAGGGACUGGGCUCAGUACGCUGACCUCUACUGGACACUGCACGUCAGUCAAGUUGCACUUCAUAAACUGUGGUUUCUGACCGUACACAGUGGGGGUAUUGGAGCUGACAGCAGUGCAGACGGCGGGGGAACGCAUCAAUCUUAUACCUGCGUUUGAUUUAUGCUGCGUCUGCGAGGCUGACCUUUAAAAGACUCAAAAUCAUCUACUACUGGAAACGAUGCAUGGGUGGCCGCCAGAGGAGGGGAGGAUGGUUACUGGGCUGCGCACCAAGGGUUUGAGCACAAACAAUGUCAAUAAUGCACUGCCUAUUCAGCUAAACUGGGAUCAAUAGGAGUGAUUCAGCAGAGCCCUGACGGAGCGGCCCCGUGUCAACAGCCUGGGACCAGAUGAAAGAUGAGACCCUUUGAACAACGCAACAACGGGAGAAACGGCAGGAAUCGAUGGAGAAGAGCUGAUGGCGAGAGCGGAGGAGAGACGGUGUAGGAGGCAGACGGCGUCUGUCCACUGUUGCUACAGAUGUUAUUAGUGUCUCACUUGGUCUGCUUUCCAACAACAGCAAAAACCACGGGCCAAAACACCGCCUGCCAAGCUGUUUAUAUGUGGACCGCUGCAGCGGCGACAAUGUAUAAAUAUAUAUACACACAUAUGUAUGUUUAAAUAUAUAUAAACACAUGUAUGUAUAAAUAUAUAAAUAUAUAUAUAAAUACAUAUUCAUGUUUAUAUAUAUAAAUAAAUAUAUAUAUAUUCCUAUCAAAUAUCUUUCAUCACUAUGGCCUUUUGACCUCACAGCCGGGUGAGCAAAUAAACCAAUCCUGGUUGGAGGUGCCAAACAGGAUUGGCCAUAAAUGUUCACAGCGAGGAUAAGACUUGAGCCUAUUUAUUUAACAAAGACUGAAGAUACAAAGCAAUAAUGCGGCCACCGUGAACAGCGUGUCUGCUGUAAGUACCAAUAGUCCGGCAGCUGAAGGCAGUGUGGAAACAGAAGGUUCAAAAAAUAAGCUUUGUUUUUUUUUGUUUUUUUUUUCUUUCUCAGUAAGCACUAUAACUCUUGUGGUAAAGACUGCUACAGAAAGGUAAAAGUCCAGCUCAAGGAUACACUCGCUCCGGCAUAUUUCCACGUCAACAAUGUUCACAACAUUUUUCACUACCUCCCAAAUGAGAGACUUUAUUUGUGUUAUCUGGAUUGCAGUACUUAAAUAAGCCCAAGGGCACGAGCCACAUCCUUACUUUGAUUUGUGCCACAUGACAUUGCACAAAUUCAAUUUUCCUCUCCCUGUUUACUUUUAAUGCCUUUGUAAGUUGCUCUCAAAAUAAAAAAAACAGGCUCCAUAUAAAGUGCUGGCUUUUCUGAAACACCAAAAAGAAACAUAUUAAGUCACUGAAACGCAACUAAAACUGAGUCACGGCCAGGAGUGAAGUAAACUAAAAAUGUUUUGCUUCUGACCGCAGCAGACCACGCAGAGGAAACGCCGUCCUGAAGCAUCACUGAUAUUUGGUCCUUAACUCUCUCGACUCCAACUGGUCCAGGCGACAACAUUCACGCCCUCCGUGUCGGGUCCCUCAAACCGAUGAUUGUUUAUGGACCAUUACAGGUCAUUAAAAUAUAUAUUAGGGUCCAUAAAAACAUCCAAAGCCACACAUUUAGAUUGAUGACCACUGCUUUUCCCCGAUGACCGCGUGAUGGACAUGUGAACCAACAGGCCGUUCUGUGUGAUACUGCCCUUUAUUGGCUGGGUGUGUAUGGGUGUGUGUAUGUGUGUGUGUGCCUCAUGGUUAUUGAUUGACUCAGUGUAAUGUAAACACAAUUAAGAGACAUUAGGGUUUUAAAAUGUUCCAGCACACACUGUAGGACGUGGCUGUUUCACAGACGAACCAUCUGGAGCCGCGCACUAAAAAAUACAUUUUACUUUUAUGGACCAGCGUGAAGCCGACUUUGUGUUUGGAAUUUUAUAUUGAUACCUUACGUGUCUGUUACGCAGACGCUGUACAGUUAGGAGCAGACUUUGACCCAGAGUCGACCUUUAACGGCUUUUAUCUGGUCAACGACAGCUCUGUGUAUGUAUGUAGCGCCCCCCUCCUGUAGGCAGGACUAAUGUAAAUACAAACACAUUCAUUAAACACAAAUCUGUGCAAUUUUCCCCCGGUGGUCUCCCUGGGAAACCCGCCCCCUACUUUGGGAACCACCGGUAAAGGGAAACCAAUUGCAUCGCAAAUUUGAUAUAAAUUUGUUAAACAACUAUUCAUUUGCAUACAUUUUAACAAACAUCAGCCACAAAAAUGACGACACCUACUGCACCAAAGAGGUAUGGCACGUGCGGUAAACUGAAGACAUUUGUCAGAAUAACUCAACUUUGUUAACGUGCUUGCCGGGGUUCAGCAUUCCUGAAGCUGUAGGAUGCUGAAGAAGAACAAAAUAUGGAGAACAAAACAUUCAAAAAGCAUAUCAAUGCUUGAUAUUUUGGGGGGGGGGUAGCUCCUGAUAAAGAUUUGAAGGUAAAAAUGAUUCAACAAUGGUUCUGUUGGUGUUGAAUCUUUAAAAAUAGGAUGAAAAAAAAAAUAGGAACUACAUAAUAUCUACAUGAAAACGUCACCAGACGCAAAAAUCAGUAUGUGUGUUUGGGUGGAACGUCAGUAAUGUUGGCGUUUGGUCGCGGCCCGUCCUGAGACAGAAACCUCCACCCUUCAUUUUUGGUCCCUGCUCAGUCUGUCCAACGUGAUCUUCCCGCCGUGUUCUUUGUGGCGUCUUCUGUUCUGCUUCCUGUCGCUGAGCUGAGGGCCAGCAGAGAGGAACAGGCUGCCAGUGACUUGGCCUGGACGCCUGGCUCCCCGCGCUUCCUAGUCAUUACUGCCGGCUAACGAGCAAAAAAAAAAGCCAGAGAUGUCUGCGGCUGCACUUUCCCCUGAGCUAACAAAGAGCAAGACCUCACGGGUGACUGUGGCAGCAGCAGCAGCGGUGGCAU